RNAcentral lists this ribosomal RNA (253 nucleotides) under uncultured bacterium. RNAcentral's name for it is "partial 16S ribosomal RNA". It matches the Rfam family "Bacterial small subunit ribosomal RNA", at positions 524 to 776 of the family's 1533-position model. The record is from RNAcentral.
UACGGAGGGUCCAAGCGUUAUCCGGAAUCAUUGGGUUUAAAGGGUCCGUAGGCGGUUUUGUCAGGCAGGGGUGAAAGCCCAUCGCUCAACGGUGGAACGGCCAUUGAUACUGCAAGACUUGAAUUAUUAGGAAGUAACUAGAAUAUGUAGUGUAGCGGUGAAAUGCUUAGAGAUUACAUGGAAUACCAAUGGCGAAGGCAGGUUACUGCUAAUGGAUUGACGCUGAUGGACGAAAGCGUGGGGAGCGAACAGG